GCGAGGGUAGUCUAGUGGUUAUGAUGUUUGCCUUACAUUGGAAAAUGGAACGCAAAAUGUCGGGGGUUCGAAUCCCCCCUCUCGUA
Molecule: non-coding RNA, 86 nt
Organism: Lentithecium fluviatile CBS 122367
Lineage: Eukaryota; Fungi; Ascomycota; Dothideomycetes; Pleosporales; Lentitheciaceae
Source: the annotation of a GenBank genome assembly